This 254-nucleotide ribosomal RNA is filed under the name uncultured bacterium. Its description in RNAcentral is "partial 16S ribosomal RNA". It matches the Rfam family "Bacterial small subunit ribosomal RNA", at positions 524 to 776 of the family's 1533-position model. The record is from RNAcentral.
UACGGGGGGAGCAAGCGUUGUUCGGAUUUACUGGGCGUAAAGGGCGCGUAGGCGGCCACCGCAAGUCGACUGUGAAAUCUCCGGGCUUAACCCGGAAAGGUCAGCCGAUACUGCGGGGCUAGAGUGCAGAAGGGGCAACUGGAAUUCUCGGUGUAGCGGUGAAAUGCGUAGAGAUCAGGAAGAACACCGGUGGCGAAAGCGCUCUGCUAGGCCGCAACUGACACUGAGGGACGAAAGCUAGGGGAGCGAAUGGG